Molecule: small nuclear RNA, 167 nt
Organism: Pipistrellus kuhlii (Kuhl's pipistrelle)
Lineage: Eukaryota; Metazoa; Chordata; Mammalia; Chiroptera; Vespertilionidae
Product: U1 spliceosomal RNA
Exons: 1
Source: RefSeq, a predicted model, not a curated record
AUGCUUAACUGGCAAGGGAGAUACCGUCCAUGAUCAUGAAGGUGGUUUUCCCAGGGUGAAGCUUAUCCAUAGCACUCUGGAUGUGCUACCCUUGCAAUUUCCCCAAGUGUGAGAGACUCGAUUGUAUAAUUUGUAGUAGUGGGGGGCUGCAUUCCUGCUCUCCCCUG